This 224-nucleotide long non-coding RNA is filed under the name Setaria italica (foxtail millet). RNAcentral describes it as "long non-coding RNA (SITA_LNC003135)". Lineage: Eukaryota; Viridiplantae; Streptophyta; Magnoliopsida; Poales; Poaceae. The record is from RNAcentral.
CUGAAACGAACAAAACCAUAUAUUUAAGAGUUACCUUAGGCCCGUUUGUUCCCUAGAAUUGAAACUUAUUCCAUGAAUCUUAUUCUAGCUAUUAGAUUCCAUAGGAAAUGGAUUACGUAGAAUUUGAUUCAAUUGUUUGGAUGUACCUAGAAAGUUUUUCUUAGAAUUAAAUUCCAAAUACUGUUUGGAUGCAUUACCGUGAACAGCAGCAACAGCCUCUGCAG